GCUGCCCGUGCUGGGCGGAGCGGGGCGGAGCGGGGGGCGGCCGGCCCCGGCGUCGCCCUUCCUGCGCUUGGAGAGGUUUCUGAAGCCGCUGAACGGCGCUGCAGCUGUAGGGGGCGGCUGCCCCCGGGAUGGGGUCGCGCAGAGAGAGAGAGGCACAGCCCUGCCAGAGAGUUUCCACCCUACCCGUCUGGGCACGGGCUGAUUCAUUCAUUCAUUCACUCAUUCAUUCAUUCAUUCAUCCAUUCAUUCAUUUAUUAAUUCGUUAAUUCAUCUAUUCGUUCGUUCGUUUAUUUAUUUAUUCAUUUAUUUAUUUAUUAUUUUAAAAGUUGCUUGUCGUACUCCAUUUUUAUUUUCCUGUUCAGCCUCAGCACUCUCAUUCUGAGAUGGUUUUCCUUUCAUGAGUUACUUGCUGCAGUGUCCUGCUCAUUUUCAUCUGUGCUGCGUAGACGCCUCCUGGUGCAGUUGCUUUGGAGUCAUCCUUCACAGCAGCAAGCAGACGUGACCCUGGUUAUCACGGUGACUCACUCAUGCUGUAGGAGUGGAUUGACAGUUCGGAUUGGAACUCAGCUACACCCAUGCCAAAAAAGAACACUUGGAGUGUGCAUGAUCUAACGGGUUUAAUUUUCACCCCAAAUUUGUGGGGAAUGGUGUUGGAAUGACUGGUAAUUACGCAGUGUUCCUUGGGAGUUUGGAUAUUGCUGUGCAUCUGCCUUUCCUAGUCGCUGGGGGACUAAAGAGAAGGCCCCGCAUGGCAGCCCUGUGCCAUGCAUACAGCACCACGGAAGAUAGCUCUGCCAAACCUAUUGGACGAUACCCAGUGCCAAAUAAGAAGGAUAUGCCAUACGAUAUUGUGGAGCUCAUGGAGGAAGUAGAAAGGAAGGUAAGAAGUUUUGUUGUAAAAUUACAUCAGUGGCAAGCAUCCAAACCUUGAGUAGGUAAUACAUUGUAAGACGUUGUAAUACAUUGUAAGUUCCCGUACACUUUGAUGUAACACAAUCCUGAUACAAGACUGAGGUGAGCUGCACUUCUUCCAAAGCUCUUUCCAAUCUAUAGGAUGGGGGUUUUACUGGUAAUUCUGCAGGGUAAACGCUGUAUGUCUUCCUGGUUCCCUGAGGC
This 1116-nucleotide long non-coding RNA is filed under the name Anas platyrhynchos platyrhynchos (common mallard). RNAcentral describes it as "lncRNA (ENSAPLG00000027624.1)". The record is from RNAcentral. Lineage: Eukaryota; Metazoa; Chordata; Aves; Anseriformes; Anatidae.